Molecule: ribosomal RNA, 351 nt
Filed under: uncultured bacterium
Lineage: Bacteria
Description: bacterial SSU rRNA
Rfam family: Bacterial small subunit ribosomal RNA
Source: RNAcentral
AACGAACGCUGGCGGCAGGCCUAACACAUGCAAGUCGAACGCCCCGCAAGGGGAGUGGCAGACGGGUGAGUAACACGUGGGAAUCUACCCAGUACUGCGGAAUAACAGUUAGAAAUGACUGCUAAUACCGCAUACGCCCUUCGGGGGAAAGAUUUAUCGGUAUUGGAUGAGCCCGCGUCUGAUUAGCUAGUUGGUGAGGUAAUGGCUCACCAAGGCGACGAUCAGUAGCUGGUCUGAGAGGAUGAUCAGCCACACUGGGACUGAGACACGGCCCAGACUCCUACGGGAGGCAGCAGUGGGGAAUAUUGGACAAUGGGCGCAAGCCUGAUCCAGCCAUGCCGCGUGUGUGAU